AGAGUUUGAUCCUGGCUCAGGACGAACGCUGGCGGCGUGCUUAACACAUGCAAGUCGAACGGAAAGGCCCUUCGGGGUACUCGAGUGGCGAACGGGUGAGUAACACGUGGGUGAUCUGCCCUGCACUCUGGGAUAAGCCUGGGAAACUGGGUCUAAUACCGGAUAGGACCGCAUGCUUCAUGGUGUGUGGUGCAAAGCUUUUGCGGUGUGGGAUGAGCCCGCGGCCUAUCAGCUUGUUGGUGGGGUAAUGGCCUACCAAGGCGACGACGGGUAGCCGGCCUGAGAGGGUGACCGGCCACACUGGGACUGAGAUACGGCCCAGACUCCUACGGGAGGCAGCAGUGGGGAAUAUUGCACAAUGGGCGCAAGCCUGAUGCAGCGACGCCGCGUGAGGGAUGACGGCCUUCGGGUUGUAAACCUCUUUCAGUAGGGACGAAGCGAAAGUGACGGUACCUACAGAAGAAGGACCGGCCAACUACGUGCCAGCAGCCGCGGUAAUACGUAGGGUCCGAGCGUUGUCCGGAAUUACUGGGCGUAAAGAGCUCGUAGGUGGUUUGUCGCGUUGUUCGUGAAAACUCACAGCUUAACUGUGGGCGUGCGGGCGAUACGGGCAGACUAGAGUACUGCAGGGGAGACUGGAAUUCCUGGUGUAGCGGUGGAAUGCGCAGAUAUCAGGAGGAACACCGGUGGCGAAGGCGGGUCUCUGGGCAGUAACUGACGCUGAGGAGCGAAAGCGUGGGGAGCGAACAGGAUUAGAUACCCCGGUAGUCCAA
RNAcentral lists this ribosomal RNA (773 nucleotides) under uncultured bacterium. Its description in RNAcentral is "bacterial SSU rRNA". It matches the Rfam family "Bacterial small subunit ribosomal RNA", at positions 8 to 798 of the family's 1533-position model. The record is from RNAcentral.